RNAcentral lists this ribosomal RNA (391 nucleotides) under uncultured bacterium. Its description in RNAcentral is "bacterial SSU rRNA". It matches the Rfam family "Bacterial small subunit ribosomal RNA", at positions 29 to 416 of the family's 1533-position model. The record is from RNAcentral.
AUUGAACGCUGGCGGCAUGCCUUACACAUGCAAGUCGAGCGCGAAAGGGGGCAACCCCGAGUAGAGCGGCGGACGGGUGAGUAACACAUCGGAACGUGCCCAGUAGUGGGGGACAACCUCGAGAAAUCGAGGCUAAUACCGCAUACGACCCACGGGUGAAAGCGGGGGACCCAAAGGAAACUGAGGGCCUCGCGCUAUUGGGGCGGCCGAUGUCCGAUUAGCUAGUUGGCGGGGUAAGAGCCCACCAAGGCGACGAUCGGUAGCUGGUCUGAGAGGACGACCAGCCACACUGGGACUGAGACACGGCCCAGACUCCUACGGGAGGCAGCAGUGGGGAAUUUGGACAAUGGGGCAACCCUGAUCCAGCCAUGCCGCGUGCGGGAAGAAGGCC